CCCAGUAGCGGCGAGUGAAGCGGCAAGAGCUCAGAUUUGAAAUCGUGUUUCGGCACGAGUUGUAGAGUGUAGGCGGGAGUCUCUGUGGAGCGCGGUGUCCAAGUCCCUUGGAACAGGGUGCCUGAGAGGGUGAGAGCCCCGUAGGGUGCUGCGCGAAGCUUUUGAGGCCCUGCUGACGAGUCGAGUUGUUUGGGAAUGCAGCUCCAAGCGGGUGGUAAAUUCCAUCUAAGGCUAAAUAUUGGCGAGAGACCGAUAGCGAACAAGUACUGUGAAGGAAAGAUGAAAAGCACUUUGAAAAGAGAGUGAAACAGCACGUGAAAUUGUUGAAAGGGAAGGGUAUUGGGCUCGACAUGGGGGGUGCGCACCGCUGUCUCUUGUAGGCGGCGCUCUGGGCGCCCUCUGGGCCAGCAUCGGUUCCUGCUGCGGGAGAAGGGGCUCCGGAAAGUGGCUCUUCGGAGUGUUAUAGCCGGGGCCAGAUGCCGCGUGUGGGGACCGAGGACUGCGGCUUCUGUCUCGGAUGCUG
Molecule: ribosomal RNA, 523 nt
Filed under: Pichia manshurica
Lineage: Eukaryota; Fungi; Ascomycota; Pichiomycetes; Pichiales; Pichiaceae
Description: eukaryotic LSU rRNA
Rfam family: Eukaryotic large subunit ribosomal RNA
Source: RNAcentral